Molecule: ribosomal RNA, 460 nt
Filed under: uncultured Thauera sp.
Lineage: Bacteria; Pseudomonadati; Pseudomonadota; Betaproteobacteria; Rhodocyclales; Zoogloeaceae
Description: bacterial SSU rRNA
Rfam family: Bacterial small subunit ribosomal RNA
Source: RNAcentral
ACCCGCACAAGCGGUGGAUGAUGUGGAUUAAUUCGAUGCAACGCGAAAACCUUACCUACCUUGACAUGUCUGGAACCUUGCUGAGAGGCGAGGGUGCCUUCGGGAGCCAGAACACAGGUGCUGCAUGGCUGUCGUCAGCUCGUGUCGUGAGAUGUUGGGUUAAGUCCCGCAACGAGCGCAACCCUUGUCAUUAGUUGCCAUCAUUUAGUUGGGCACUCUAAUGAGACUGCCGGUGACAAACCGGAGGAAGGUGGGGAUGACGUCAAGUCCUCAUGGCCCUUAUGGGUAGGGCUUCACACGUCAUACAAUGGUCGGUACAGAGGGUUGCCAAGCCGCGAGGUGGAGCCAAUCCCUUAAAGCCGAUCGUAGUCCGGAUCGUAGUCUGCAACUCGACUACGUGAAGUCGGAAUCGCUAGUAAUCGCAGGUCAGCAUACUGCGGUGAAUACGUUCCCGGGUCUU